This is a long non-coding RNA of Daphnia pulex (common water flea), 884 nucleotides long. RefSeq lists it as uncharacterized. NCBI's taxonomy places the organism in Eukaryota, Metazoa, Arthropoda, Branchiopoda, Diplostraca, Daphniidae. The transcript has 5 exons. The record is from RefSeq and is a predicted model, not a curated record.
AUUUUGGUACUCAAAAUGUUGGACGUCAGCUGAUAUGGCACGCCGAAAGAGUCACAAACAAAAUGUUUAAAUUUAAAAAAAAAAAAGUUUCGCCACAACGCUAUCUAGCGGUAAAAUAUAGAACUGCAUGCAAAAUGCAAAAUUCCCUUUUCUUGCCCCAAUAGGCCAAUACGCGAAAUUUUCGCUUAUUCGUCAGAACGUGACAAGUUGUAUGAGUCAACAAUCAUCGUUAAGCUAGCUUCGAAAAUUACCAAAGAUUCAUAGUCAGAGUAAACGUGAAGUCAUGCAACCUACCGUCAACUAUUUUGUUCAAACUCAUUGUAUUCUACUGAAUGUGUCAUCAAAAUGAUACAGAUCACCGACCCCAGCAUGGAACAAUCUCUCAUUCCAUCUUAUACAGAAUCUUGGGUAACUGAUUUGUGGUUUCAUGUUUCUGAAUUGGCAUGACUGACUAUAUGAGAAGUUAUGUCCUUCCAAGAAAAGGACUUACAGCGUUACAGUCAACAAGAUUUCUUAUUUGCUAACCCGUUGGCUGCUACCCAUGAAUCUCCCUAUUCAACAACAAAAAAAGAGGUUAAAUAUUGUGAUCAUGCUAUCAUCAUUAUGUUGCCUAUAAGACCAAAUGUGGGACAUAUGGUUAUCCCUCCAAAAUAAGGCAAUGACCACACGUUCAACGCGGAUCAUUCGCUUUGUCAUCGAACUUGACUCAUUCCAUCUUCUGGAUUGCUUAGGAAAGCUGUUUGGUGUUAUUCUGUGUAACUUCAUUGUCAUGUCACUGAAUUUAAAUUUUGUUUACAUUUUGUUUAGCUUGAUUUAGCCAUUUAGGUAAUGACCGAGAAGAUGCGGCCUACAUGAACAUCAUUUAGGCGACCAGCAUCAUUCGA